Molecule: long non-coding RNA, 221 nt
Organism: Melospiza melodia melodia
Lineage: Eukaryota; Metazoa; Chordata; Aves; Passeriformes; Passerellidae
Exons: 3
Source: RefSeq, a predicted model, not a curated record
CUCUGAGCAAUGUCAUCAGCCAGACCUACCUGUCGGAAGAUGAGAUGGCAGCCAUCAGUCGGGAGUGCCUGCAAGGACUGGAUUUUCUUCAUUCAAACCAUGUCAUCCACCAAGAUGUGAAAAGCAGCAACAUCCUUCUCAGAACUGACGGUUCUGUCAAGCUGGCUGACUUUGGCCUCUUUGCUCAGCUCAGCCCUGAGCAGGGCAGACGGAGCUCCGUG